UUUCACUUCGAAGUAUUAAGAGCGGAAACUUUUCUGUGUUGAUAGACGAUAUUUUCUGUAAUACAUAUAUUUUUGUGAAACUUAGAACAUACUCCAUCUCAAGUAAUAUUGCAUCACUUCAGAUUGUUGGUAGAACAUUUCCCAGCAAACCGAGAGUCUGUUUUACCAAAAGUACUACAGAUUUAUCAUACAAAAUGUCAAAGAUGAACCAAAGAUGUAAACAAAAACUCAAAAGGCGUAGUCUGACAAUUAAACAAAAAGUUGAGGUAUUGAAACGCAUGAAAAAUAAAAAGUCUACAAAAACUGGG
Long non-coding RNA from Wyeomyia smithii (pitcher-plant mosquito), 308 nucleotides. RefSeq lists it as uncharacterized. The record is from RefSeq and is a predicted model, not a curated record. Lineage: Eukaryota; Metazoa; Arthropoda; Insecta; Diptera; Culicidae. The transcript has 3 exons.